This is a long non-coding RNA of Pygocentrus nattereri (red-bellied piranha), 628 nucleotides long. RefSeq lists it as uncharacterized. The record is from RefSeq and is a predicted model, not a curated record. The transcript is spliced from 3 exons. NCBI's taxonomy places the organism in Eukaryota, Metazoa, Chordata, Actinopteri, Characiformes, Serrasalmidae.
AUAUAUUUAUAAAUACAAAUAUAACAAUAUAACAUAUAUUUGUAAAAAAUCUGCUUUCAACAUAAAAAAGUGAAUUUAAAAAACAACUGUCUAUGGUUUCUAAAUACCAAGUUAGACAUAAUAUUGAAUUACUGAGCUGAUCAGUGGUCUGUUAAACCUCUUCUAACUUCAUCACAUCUGGCUGCUGCCCAAGGAGGAAUCUUGUGUGUUUUCCAGCUGCAGAUGAGUAUUCACCACCAAGCUAUACCUACACCUCACUUGGGUAGAGACAUCACCCACAGCCUGGGGCCCAGGUUGCUGCCUCAACCCUGUGCUUCACUCUGUUGUGAAGAGAUACAUCCAGAACCCGCAGCCUCCAGUCUGUAUUCUAACAGCAGCACCUGGUGAACCCUCACAGGCAGUUUCAUCAACAUCAAAAACCUUCAGCUGUGUGUACACAAUUUACAACAUCAAGCUACAGCCUCCAAUCUGCAUUCCAACAGCAGCAAAAGCACAACUUUAACACACACAAGUUCCUCCUUACUCUUUUUCUCUCUCAUCUUUAUAUUCUUGUUUCAAGUCAUUGACCCUCCUCCAAAAAAAAACAAACAAAAAAAGAAAACAAAACAAAAAAAAAACAAAAAAACAA